Long non-coding RNA from Corvus hawaiiensis (hawaiian crow), 1745 nucleotides. RefSeq lists it as uncharacterized. Lineage: Eukaryota; Metazoa; Chordata; Aves; Passeriformes; Corvidae. The transcript is spliced from 4 exons. The record is from RefSeq and is a predicted model, not a curated record.
CACAGCUACGGACAAACGGACAGCGAGGGGGGUGGGAGUAAGGAGCCGCUCUAAUGUAACAGCCCACCGAGAGCUGCUUAUCCGUCAAGAGAGCACGGGGGAAAGUGUAGGAGUGGCUGGGUGCUGCUGCAGAUGCUGCCGUGUUGAUGAGACAACGAGGAAGGAUUCCAAGCGAGGUCCAUCCAGCAGUUUGGAAAAGAAACUUCCUGUGGAAGAAUCCAAUGAAUUUAUUAAUGAGCUCUUUCCCUCCUCUAUUCUCUUACCUGCACCCAAGUUCUGCACUGCUGCUCAGGCACAAAAAGUGAUUCACUGGACAAAUGGACACUAGAUGCUGUGGAAUUCCUGCCCUGGACUUUCCUCCCACGGAGGGCACUGUCUUGCCUUUCUUUUCUGCACCAGCCACUGAUGUCCACACUACAUUGUAGGAAUUUAAUAUUUGUGCCCAUCAAAUUUAAUAUCUGCCAGUGGGUUCAAAGGUCUUGAGGUGAGGAAAGGUUGAAUACUGUGUCAGCAGACACCAUGCAAAGACAAAUCUGAAUUUAAGGGAAAAAAAGAAAAGCCUAUCCAGUAGGGAAAAAAUUGGUGUAUACACACACAGUAAAGAUAGUCACAGCAUACACAGUUUCUGUCUUUGGUUUUGUGCAUUGCUGUCCCUUUGCUAAUGAAUGUAAUGCUUCUAAAAGUGUUAGAUUAAAAUUCAGAGGAAGAGAAUACUCUGCUUCCCUGCCAAACCAGACAGACCACUGCACUGGUUGUCUUGCUGGCUGUGAAUAUUUUGCCCUUGGUUACCAUUAACAUUGCCGCAGCUGUGUAUGAUUUGCUGAUUCACUUGGUGACUGUUUCUCAGUUCCUCUGCUGGGAUUUUUCCCUAACUGGUAACAUAAGUGCUUUUAGUCUUUGAAGAAGUAAGGAAAAGUCACACUGUUCCUCAUACUGACUUAAAGUCCUCCCAGAUUUACCCUGGGAUAUGUACAAACUGUUGUGCUGUAAAGAACCUCAAGAGGAAGAUAUGAAUGUCAUAGUUGUCUUAAUGCAGUGUCUCUCCUACUAGCAAAGGAUUGACUAAAAAAAAAGUAGUUUUCAUGUUAUCCAAAAUAUAUUAAAGGUCUCGUGAACAGGAAAGCUUUUCUCUUGACUUCAUUGUAUUCUGGAGCAAGUCCUAGCAGCAUAAAUCUCACCUUCAAUUUAUGUUUCCAAUCUGACUGAUGUAAAUGAUGCCUUUUUUUUUUUUUUUUUCUUUUGGCUCAGAGUUAAAAGCUGCAAAAGGACAGAAUAUUUUGUAUCAGCCAGAAAUUCUUGAUUUCAAAGUACAGUUCCAUCUUAUUAAAGAAACCAUUAAGUUUUUCUAAACAUGAAAAUUUAAGCUCCUAGAAACCAUAUUUGCUUUAUUUCCCCUCUAACUUAAUGAACAAAUGAUGGAGUCAGCUGACACCACCUUGUCCUUUUCAAGUAAAGUCGACUAUGCUUAGCUGUGUGCAGUCCUAGCAGGUAGUUGUAAUUAAUUUUGUUUAUUUUAAUUUUAAAAGAUAACUACUUUGCUUUAAUUUUUCAGUUUAUUUGGUGCUUUCUUUUAGACGUUAAAGUUGCUUAUUUGUUUUUUAAGCCAUUAAGCAUUUGUAACUAUUUUUGGCAAGCAUUCUCACCAUUAUAUAUGGUAAAGUUGUAUGGGGAACACAAAUCAAAAUCUUUAUAAAGUAACAUAUGCAUUGAACCAAAAUCCCACAGAAGCCCAUAGGCAUGGAUAA